Molecule: ribosomal RNA, 292 nt
Filed under: uncultured bacterium
Lineage: Bacteria
Description: partial 16S ribosomal RNA
Rfam family: Bacterial small subunit ribosomal RNA
Source: RNAcentral
GUUACAGCAGCCGCGGUAAGACAGAGGGUGCUAGCGUUGUUCGGAAUUACUGGGCGUAAAGGGCGCGUAGGCGGCUUGGCAAGUCGAGUGUGAAAGCCCGGGGCUCAACCCCGGAACUGCAUUCGAGACUGUCCGGCUGGAGUCCGGAAGAGGAAGGUGGAAUACCCAGUGUAGAGGUGAAAUUCGUAGAUAUUGGGUGGAACACCAGUGGCGAAGGCGGCCUUCUGGUCCGGAACUGACGCUGAGGCGCGAAAGCGUGGGGAGCAAACAGGAUUAGAAACCCUCGUAGUCC